RNAcentral lists this ribosomal RNA (250 nucleotides) under uncultured soil bacterium. RNAcentral's name for it is "partial 16S ribosomal RNA". It matches the Rfam family "Bacterial small subunit ribosomal RNA", at positions 26 to 280 of the family's 1533-position model. The record is from RNAcentral.
AGGACGAACGCUGGCGGCGUGCUUAACACAUGCAAGUCGAGCGGAAAGGCCCUUCGGGGUACUCGAGCGGCGAACGGGUGAGUAACACGUGAGUAACCUGCCCUCCACUCUGGGAUAAGCCCGGGAAACUGGGUCUAAUACCGGAUAUGACCUCCUGUCUCAUGGCGGGUGGUGGAAAGUUUUUUCGGUGGGGGAUGGACUCGCGGCCUAUCAGCUUGUUGGUGAGGUAAUGGCUUACCAAGGCGACGAC